This 253-nucleotide ribosomal RNA is filed under the name uncultured bacterium. Its description in RNAcentral is "partial 16S ribosomal RNA". It matches the Rfam family "Bacterial small subunit ribosomal RNA", at positions 524 to 776 of the family's 1533-position model. The record is from RNAcentral.
UACGUAGGGUCCGAGCGUUGUCCGGAAUUAUUGGGCGUAAAGAGCUCGUAGGCGGUUUGUCGCGUCUGCUGUGAAAACCUAAGGCUCAACCUUGGGCUUGCAGUGGGUACGGGCAGACUAGAGUGCGGUAGGGGUGACUGGAAUUCCUGGUGUAGCGGUGGAAUGCGCAGAUAUCAGGAGGAACACCGAUGGCGAAGGCAGGUCACUGGGCCGCAACUGACGCUGAGGAGCGAAAGCAUGGGGAGCGAACAGG